CGCGGCCGUGGGACAUGUUCUCAGUCAAUCGAUUACCUCUCGGAUGCCUGCGAAGUUAGCUGUCGGAUUCGGGUGUGAGAUGCACCCGGCCGCCAC
Molecule: transfer RNA, 96 nt
Filed under: Zhihengliuella salsuginis
Lineage: Bacteria; Bacillati; Actinomycetota; Actinomycetes; Micrococcales; Micrococcaceae
Description: tRNA-Gly
Source: RNAcentral